UACGGAAGGCAGCAGUGGGGAAUAUUGCACAAUGGGCGCAAGCCUGAUGCAGCCAUGCCGCGUGUAUGAAGAAGGCCUUCGGGUUGUAAAGUACUUUCAGUCGUGAGGAAGGUGUUAAGGUUAAUAACCUUAGCAAUUGACGUUAGCGACAGAAGAAGCACCGGCUAACUCCGUGCCAGCAGCCGCGGUAAUACGGAGGGUGCGAGCGUUAAUCGGAAUUACUGGGCGUAAAGGGCACGCAGGCGGUUAAUUAAGUUGGAUGUGAAAUCCCCGGGCUUAACCUGGGAAUGGCAUUCAAGACUGGUUAGCUAGAGUCUUGUAGAGGGGGUUAGAAUUCCAUGUGUAGCGGUGAAAUGCGUAGAGAUGUGGAGGAAUACCGGUGGCGAAGGCGGCCCCUGGGACAAAGACUGACGCUCAUGUGCGAAAGCGUGGGGA
Molecule: ribosomal RNA, 435 nt
Filed under: uncultured bacterium
Lineage: Bacteria
Description: bacterial SSU rRNA
Rfam family: Bacterial small subunit ribosomal RNA
Source: RNAcentral